UGACCUCAGCUGUAGUGGAACAGCUCUGGAGUCAGCAGCUCUGAUGUGUCAAACCACUUCCUACACACAACAGCACGCACCACCACACUGAGCAUUAAGUUUGAGUUCCUGGAUUAAAGCUACUAAUACUUGAACAAAGAGCAGACUUUAUUAUCUCUUGCGGAGCCAGCCCAGUGAAAUGACGAUUUGCUGACCAAAGAGCAAAGUCCUUGCUGUGCACACAGGGUGGGGAUGCUCCCCACCAGUCUAACCAGGCAGUAGGAGGCUCCUUGGCUUGGCUGGCAGCAGCCCAUCACUUCUAAGAAACUUCACCGUCCUCAGUGUGGCAGAGAAAAGAUGUGAACAAGUCCCAUGGAGCUCAAGUGCCUUUUGAUGUGGCUCUUGUUUGGAUCCGUCAAGGGGAACAGGCCAGAAGCCUGCCCAGCUCUUCCAACAACCGAAUUUGCUGAUGUUACUGCUAAAAGGUAUCCACUGAGGACCAAACUGUACUAUGAAUGUGACAAGGGCUACACAAGAAGAAGUGGGCAGUACUUGGGAAUUCAGUGUCAGAGUAUAGAGCAGGUUGCUUCUUGGGUCUACAAGGAAUUUGAAUGCAUUGAAGAGAGAGUUUUAUUGUCAACGGCUCCCACAAUGGAGUUAGAUGCUACACAGAAACCAGAAAGAAAACCACAGAAGACCCCUGCACCCCAGAAGCAAGUAAACCUUUCAGCAUCUGACCAGAAAGAUUUCUGUGGUCCUCCCAAGACUGUUCCACAUGCCUCUUUAAGCCUGAACAGACAGUAUUACGUGGGACAAGUCUUACAUUUCAAAUGCCAGAGCGGGUACGACAAGCGACCUCCCAUCUCUGGCACUCGUGAGUGCAAGAAGGGGAAUGGCAAAAUCAGCUGGACCCCCCUUGACAUGCGAUGCACCAAUGACAGCAAUGAGUGGCUGCCACAGACUGUUGAGCCAGGUUCUACUCAUCCACCCUUUUCCUCGUCUGUGAUACUGCCAGUGACAGGUAUGGCGUUUUGUUAAUAGGACUCAACUUCACUCCAUCCCCCAGAGCAGUUACUUUGCCUUUCAAUUGGCUGUUUAAACCAUCUCAGCCCUAAGAGGUAAUAAAUACACUGCAAGAGACAUCUACAUCCAUGUAUUGGCUAUCUUUUUUGUUCUGCCUGUCAUUACUGCUGUCUUCAUGUGACUCACCAAGCAGAGAAUACAGUAAGUGGGAUGGAACCAGGAAAAUGUGAAAUCUAAAAUGAAAUUCCCUAGGAGUGGAAGAACUAUCACCCGAAUCAGUCAUCUCACUGGUGCACCACUUAGAAUUCUGAAUACCUUCUUUGAUGUUAAAUAAAUGACCC
RNA transcript from Pezoporus occidentalis (night parrot), 1343 nucleotides. It is a transcript of the gene named interleukin-2 receptor subunit alpha-like, with no coding region annotated. The record is from RefSeq and is a predicted model, not a curated record. The transcript has 6 exons. Lineage: Eukaryota; Metazoa; Chordata; Aves; Psittaciformes; Psittacidae.